CAGGGGGUAUUUUAUUGAAAAUGUUAAUUUUGGGGAUUAAUGAAAUGGUGUUAUUGUUUUGCCUUUCCUCUGA
This 73-nucleotide transfer RNA is filed under the name Odontotermes sp. D TB-2017. RNAcentral's name for it is "tRNA-Pro". Lineage: Eukaryota; Metazoa; Arthropoda; Insecta; Blattodea; Termitidae. The record is from RNAcentral.